GACGAAGGUGGCGAGCGUUGUUCGGAAUCACUGGGCAUAAAGCGCACGUAGGUGGUGUCGUAAGUCGGGUGUGAAAUCCCUCGGCCUAACCGAGGAACUGCGCCCGAUACUGCGAUGCUUGAGGAUCAGAGGGGUGCAUGGAAUUUCCGGUGGAGCGGUGAAAUGCGUUGAUAUCGGAAGGAACUCCGGCGGCGAAAGCGAUGCACUGGCUGAUUUCUGACACUGAGGUGCGAAAGCCAGGGGAGCAAACGGG
This 253-nucleotide ribosomal RNA is filed under the name uncultured bacterium. Its description in RNAcentral is "partial 16S ribosomal RNA". It matches the Rfam family "Bacterial small subunit ribosomal RNA", at positions 524 to 776 of the family's 1533-position model. The record is from RNAcentral.